UAUGGAAUCUUCGGCAAUGGACGAAAGUCUGACCGAGCAACGCCGCGUGAGUGAAGAAGGUUUUCGGAUCGUAAAACUCUGUUGUUAGAGAAGAACAAGGACGUUAGUAACUGAACGUCCCCUGACGGUAUCUAACCAGAAAGCCACGGCUAACUACGUGCCAGCAGCCGCGGUAAUACGUAGGUGGCAAGCGUUGUCCGGAUUUAUUGGGCGUAAAGCGAGCGCAGGCGGUUUCUUAAGUCUGAUGUGAAAGCCCCCGGCUCAACCGGGGAGGGUCAUUGGAAACUGGGGGACUUGAGUGCAGAAGAGGAGAGUGGAAUUCCAUGUGUAGCGGUGAAAUGCGUAGAUAUAUGGAGGAACACCAGUGGCGAAGGCGGCUCUCUGGUCUGUAACUGACGCUGAGGCUCGAAAGCGUGGGGAGCAAACAGG
Molecule: ribosomal RNA, 429 nt
Filed under: Gemmatimonadota bacterium
Lineage: Bacteria; Pseudomonadati; Gemmatimonadota
Description: Gemmatimonadetes bacterium partial 16S ribosomal RNA
Rfam family: Bacterial small subunit ribosomal RNA
Source: RNAcentral